AACGAGCGCCAACCCCUACUGCUAGUUGCCAGCGGGUCAUGCCGGGGACUCUAGCGGAACUGCCAGCGUAAGCUGCGAGGAAGGGUGGGGAUGACGUCAAAUCAGCACGGCCCUUACGUCCGAGGGCUACACACGUGUUACAAUGGCCGGUACAGGAGGGCAGCCCACCCCGCGGAGGGGGCGCGAAUCCCGAAAGCCGGUCCCAGUUCGGAUCGGAGUCUGCAACCCGACUCCGUGAAGCUGGAUUCGCUAGUAAUCGCGCAUCAGCCACGGCGCGGUGAAUACGUUCCCGGGCCUU
Molecule: ribosomal RNA, 298 nt
Filed under: uncultured Rikenellaceae bacterium
Lineage: Bacteria; Pseudomonadati; Bacteroidota; Bacteroidia; Bacteroidales; Rikenellaceae
Description: partial 16S ribosomal RNA
Rfam family: Bacterial small subunit ribosomal RNA
Source: RNAcentral